Polistes dominula (European paper wasp) is the source of this 1175-nucleotide long non-coding RNA. NCBI's taxonomy places the organism in Eukaryota, Metazoa, Arthropoda, Insecta, Hymenoptera, Vespidae. The record is from RefSeq and is a predicted model, not a curated record.
AGAAUGAUGCCUGCAAGGUGUCUGAAAGAUUUUUUGGAAAUAUUUUACGAAACUUUCGCUGAAAGAUUUCAAAACUUAUCGUGUUAUGUGGGACUGUUGGAUGUUGCUCUCACAUUGCUGCUAUCAUAUAUUAUUUAUCUUACGCUCGAUAUUUGGCGAAAAUUGUAAGACUUGCUGAGAUCCUGAGUCGCCUGUUCAUCGAUGAAAAAAUUAGUGUCGUAGUGAAUGAAGACAGUGAUGAAGACUAAUAUAGUUACAUCUUUUAUUAUAAUUUUUAUUUUUGUUGCAUAAGGUUUAGAAUAAUAUCUAACCGUAUAAAAAAUAUAUAAGUACCAUUUUUAAGUGUAUUUUCAAUAAUCAAUAACCCUUCUAAUUACGUUAGACGGAAUAUAUCUUAAUUGUUUUAUAAUAAUCUUUAUGUUUAUUUCUGGCAAAGUGUAUUUUGAGUGAAAAAUUUUUUCACAUUUUUUUUAACUAAAAAAAAUAUAAGUUAGUUAAAACUUGAGAUUUUUCUGAAGAAAAUUCACAAUAUGAUAAGUGCCCAUCUGGCGAUGAUACCUGGCGUUCGUAUCAAAAAGCAAAAGCUUAUAAAACUUUUGAUUUUUAUAAACAUAAAAAUUCAAUUCCUGUAAUUGUUCAAGAAGUAAUUAAACCGGUGUACGAUAGAUUAACUGAUACCGAUUUAUUGGAACGUUAUUUGGAAGGAUAUACCCAAGAUAUCAGUGAAAGUCUGAACGCUGUAAUUUGGUCUAUGGCUCCAAAAGUACAUUACAAUGGGACAAAAAUUAUUGAAAUUGCAUUUAUACACUAUAAAACAUACACUAUACUAGUGUAUUAUAUAUAAUACAAUUAUUAAAACUAGAAAUCGGCCUAAAUGCGCUGCAAUUAGUUGAAAAGUUGGAUUCUCAACGAAUAUCUAUAGCUGACAUAAGAGCGCAACGGAAGACUAAAGAGGCCAGAAAAUUAAAAAGAGCAACACAAAAGGAAUCAGAGGACAUCACAGCAAUAAUAGAAGACCUCAUGUACGAUUCAGGAAUCUCAAAUUAAAAAACAUCUGUUAAGACUUACUGUAAAAGGUGGCGGUGGAUCUGUAUUGGUACGGAGUGCAAUGACUAUAAACGGUACGGGCCCUAUUCACCACGUCGAAGGUAUUAUGAACAAAUUUAAAAAAAAAA